This 305-nucleotide ribosomal RNA is filed under the name uncultured bacterium. Its description in RNAcentral is "bacterial SSU rRNA". It matches the Rfam family "Bacterial small subunit ribosomal RNA", at positions 337 to 639 of the family's 1533-position model. The record is from RNAcentral.
UCCUACGGGGGGCAGCAGUGAGGAAUAUUGGUCAAUGGGCGGGAGCCUGAACCAGCCAAGUUGCGUGAAGGAAGAAGGUACUUAGUAUUGUAAACUUCUUUUGUCGGGGAACAAAGGCGGAGACGCGUCUCCGGAUGAGUGUACCCGAAGAAAAAGCAUCGGCUAACUCCGUGCCAGCAGCCGCGGUAAUACGGAGGAUCCGAGCGUUAUCCGGAUUUAUUGGGUUUAAAGGGUGCGUAGGCGGUUUGAUAAGUUAGAGGGGAAAUGUCGGGGCUCAACCCCGAAACUGCCUCUAAUACUGUUGG